GAUGAACGCUGGCGGCGUGCCUAAUACAUGCAAGUCGAGCGAACGGACGAGAAGCUUGCUUCUCUGAUGUUAGCGGCGGACGGGUGAGUAACACGUGGAUAACCUACCUAUAAGACUGGGAUAACUUCGGGAAACCGGAGCUAAUACCGGAUAAUAUUUUGAACCGCAUGGUUCAAAAGUUAAAGACGGUCUUGCUGUCACUUAUAGAUGGAUCCGCGCUGCAUUAGCUAGUUGGUAAGGUAACGGCUUACCAAGGCAACGAUGCAUAGCCGACCUGAGAGGGUGAUCAGCCACACUGGAACUGAGACACGGUCCAGACUCCUACGGGAGGCAGCAGUAGGGAAUCUUGCGCAAUGGGCGAAAGCCUGACGGAGCAACGCCGCGUGAGUGAUGAAGGUCUUCGGAUCGUAAAACUCUGUUAUGAGGGAAGAACAUAUGUGUAAGUAACUGUGCACAUCUUGACGGUACCUAAUCAGAAAGCCACGGCUAACUACGUG
Molecule: ribosomal RNA, 497 nt
Filed under: uncultured bacterium
Lineage: Bacteria
Description: partial 16S ribosomal RNA
Rfam family: Bacterial small subunit ribosomal RNA
Source: RNAcentral